CCCUUGCAGUUCAUUUCCUCUGUGUGGCCAUUUUCUGCCAAGAAAUCCAGCUUUAUAUCCAUUUGCGGGCAAAGAUUGGAUCUUGCUCUGUCACCACCCAGGCUGGAGAGCAGUGGCACAGUCAUAUCUUACUGCAGCCUCGACUUCCUGGGCUCAAGUGAUCUUCCCACCUCAGCUUCCCAAGUAGCUGGGACUACAGGUACAUGCCACUACACCUGGCUAAUUGUGUUUUUAUUUUUAUUUUUUGAGAUGGAGUGUUGCUCUUGUAGCCCAGGCUGGAGUGCAAUGGUCUGAUCUUGGCUCACUGCAACCAGUGCCUCUCUGGUUCAAGCAAUUCUCCUGCCUCAGCCUCCUGAGUAGCUGAGAUUACACGUGCCUGCCACCAAGCCUGGCUAAUUUUUGUAUUUUUAGUAGAGGUGGGAUUUCACCUUGUUGGUCAGGCUGUUCUCAAACUCCUGACCUCAGGUGAUCCACCCCCCUCGGCCUCCCAAAGUGCUGGGGUUACAAGCAUGAGCCACUGCACCUGGCCUGUUUUUGUUUUUCAUAGAGAUGAGUUCUCCUGGCUAUGUUGCUCAGGCUGGUCUUGAACUCCUGGGCUCAAGUCAUGCUCCCACCUUGGCCUCCUAAAGUGCUAGGAUUGGAGGCCUGAGCCACUGCACCCAGCUCACAAGCAUACAUUUUAUUUUUGUGUCUUAUAUUCAUUCAUUUAAUUCAUUUAAUUAAAUUGAUUUUCUUUUUAAGAUUUUUAUUCUUUUAUAUAAAACACUUAUUUUCAUAUUCAUCUCUGAAAGUUAUCAGGGUUUGCCACCCCAAAAUAUGCUACAUUGGUAUAAGAAUUGUUUCUGAGCCAAAGGCAUUUGAGUUUCUGAAA
This 871-nucleotide long non-coding RNA is filed under the name Papio anubis (olive baboon). RNAcentral describes it as "lncRNA (ENSPANG00000039245.1)". Lineage: Eukaryota; Metazoa; Chordata; Mammalia; Primates; Cercopithecidae. The record is from RNAcentral.